Schistocerca gregaria is the source of this 2706-nucleotide long non-coding RNA. RefSeq lists it as uncharacterized. The transcript has 2 exons. NCBI's taxonomy places the organism in Eukaryota, Metazoa, Arthropoda, Insecta, Orthoptera, Acrididae. The record is from RefSeq and is a predicted model, not a curated record.
AAGUUGUCAGUUGACAGUCAUCAGUCCGAGGCUUGCGAGGGAGUCCCUGCAGAGCGUUGGUCGUGUCAAGUCGUCGCGUGAGUUGCUGCAGCUGCUUCGACCGCGCCUCCUGCAGCUCGACGUAGCGCGCGGCCUCGAUGAGCGUCUCGAGGCUCAUGGCUGGCGGCGCGGCGCGCACCCGCGUGCCGACCGCUCGCGCUCACGCGACUGCCCGGCUGGCGCGCUGCUGCUGCUGCUGGCCCGGCGGCGCCGGGGCGGAGACCAUGACGCCCCCGACACCGCGUGCUGCCGCCGCUGCCACGCCGAUACACGGCGCCUGCCUCGCGGCCGCGGCCGGCGCGCACGCUCGCACCGCGCAGGCGCCGCCCGGGCGCGCGCUCCGCCUGUGCCAGCGCCCAGCCGGCAGUGCCGGCCCGGGACCGCGACUGCCGCGCCGCGCCACGCGUUGCCAACGGCGACUGCCAAUGAUCUGCAGGGCGGCCCGUGACGUCACAAAGGGCGACGCGCCACCGCCGGCCGCGCACGAGGCGCGCAGCCGCCGACCCGCACUGCCAUCGCCCCCUUUCUCUACGUUACACGGACGGGGUGUGCCAAAAACUGCCACCGCCACGAAACUCCGGGAACGCGAUCGUUCGAGUCCCCCACCCCUAAAGCACUUUUACACUUCCACUACGUCUGUCACACGUACACAAUAUCCGACACCCGACUACAAACACAUUCGACUAGAAUCGUUACACGUUCCGUAGUGGGCAGGCGGGUGGAAACCGCAAGUUAUCAACCACCACUGCAGCGUAGUCACAAACGCGCGCGAGCGCACAGUUCGUGGUCGCAGCGAAAUCGAUCCGCAUGCAGGUCCGUUUUGCUAUUUCGCCCUUCCUCGCCGUCGCUGGCACGGUGAGAGCUGCUCGGCGGUCGUCCCUCCUCACUGCGCAUCAAACUACUGCCAUGCCGCCUGCCUGAUACGGUUCACGUGUCCGGGCCCGGGAACCGACCAAUAGCGCAGCUCGGCGUGACGUAACAGCGGCAGGGCGUGUUCGCUGGCGCACAUUUCCCGGCGCCCCUCUCCUGUCUCCCCUCCUUCCCCCACCACUCUACGCAGCCGGGCACGCCGGCUCGAACGGCAGCGGGGCAGAACCCCCCUACCUCCUGCCUUUUGUCGGACACUCGGCCGGCUCGCAGCUUCGAGUAAUGUGCUGUUCUCGGCGGAAGAACUUUCGUGAAUCGACGCCCAGACAAAUCGGAUUUCACUAGCGAAGCCAUCGAGGCGAGCGGCAAUCGCAGUCCGAGCAAGUCACGCUUAGAGAGAGAGAGAGAGAGAGAGAGAGAGAGAGAGAGAGAGAGAGAGAGAGUUGGCCCCCCCACCAGAGCAAACGCCUACCCCCUCUCCCCACCCAUCGCGAGAGCCGUGUCAUUGAGCCCGGGAAGCGAGGGGGAAAAAGCUUCUGCUGUCACGUUCCGCGGCUGUCACAUGGUAGCGCGGCGUUGCCGCAUCCGCUACACAAACAAAGACACGCAAUCGAUGCACUUCAAAUAUAGCCGGCACUGUCAUCGGAGACCUCAGAACGGCGUCAUUUACGAUGUACCAAAGAAAGUUUACAACAGAAUUUAAAAAAAAUUCCAUAAUUUCAUUAAUGUGCGGUGGCACUGGUUUGCAAGUACAUUUGUGAACAUACUGUUUCUUUCUAGACAAAAAUAAAUGGCCCACUCUUUAAGUAUAUGUAGGCAUAAUAGAAAUGUUUAUGUAACUGAAAUAACUUUUCCCCUCACCUUUGAGAUUGAGUUCCACGAUGAAAACAGGUUGAGUAAAUCUAACAGAAACCGAAUGUAACUUUAGAGAAAAGAAUAUUUGUAAUAAACUAAACGUGCCAGAAGGCAGCUUCUCUAAAGUACUUGCUACAAAUAAUUAUUAUUUUGCAGAACUGCACUUCUAGUAUAAGCCAAAAGUGUAUUUUGUAAGGAGUAUUUUCUAGAGCACAUCUUUGUACGUCCACACCACUCUCUCGUAUCUCAAAAUUAUUGUGCAGGUGUCAUCUUUUGUAAUUAUUGGGCAAUUAUGUGUGUGAUAUGAAAAUUCCUUUUCAUAAAACAAAUAAUUCGGGAAGUUCCAUGGAUGAUCCAGUCAUUUAUGAGAGACAAUAUGUAUUGUAGACUCAUAAAUCAGCCAGUAUUAUAGUUCUAUCAAAGCUCUGAAAUUGUUGUACAUUUCAAACAAAGGUAAUAUAGCUUGACUUAUCCUGUGAUUGGUACUAGUUUGUCGCCGUCUUCCAAUAAAGCAUUUGUUCAAAUAAGUCGCUGGAAUUUGCAGAUAACUGUUAAGUUCGCUGAUGGGUUCUCUGCAAUGUAAACACACCCAAUGUUUGCAUAUAAGCUGCUCCCCCCCCCCCCCCCCCUAACUUUAGAAUCAUUGUGUAAGUAUAAGAGACAACCAUUUGUCUAGAGUAAGCAAACGAUUCACAUCAUUCAAUGAUGCCAACUCAUGCCACAUAACCCAAGUGUCCACAUUACUUAUACAGUAGAAAUAGAGUACAAUGAUAUGGAACAGGAUUUCAAAAGGAAUUUGAAAAAGACUAAGGAACAUAAGGAGAGUGUCAUUCUAUAGUAGAACUAAUUCAUAAACAACAUACUGUGCAUAAAUAUUUUUAAUGACAAAGUGACAAGUUCAUGGAUACAUUGGCUGCUCGCAUUUAUGAAAACAAAGAUAAUUAU